CUACGGGUCGCAGCAGUGAGGAAUAUUGCGCAAUGGGGGAAACCCUGACGCAGCGACGCCGCGUGGAUGAUGAAGGCCUUCGGGUUGUAAAAUCCUGUCAGAUGGGAAGAAUUGUUCCAUGUCUAAUAUAUGUGGGACUUGACGGUACCGUCAAAGGAAGCACCGGCUAACUCCGUGCCAGCAGCCGCGGUAAUACGGAGGGUGCAAGCGUUGUUCGGAAUUACUGGGCGUAAAGCGCGCGUAGGCGGUCUGUUAAGUCAGAUGUGAAAGCCCAUGGCUCAACCAUGGACGUGCAUUUGAUACUGGCAGACUUGAGUACUGGAGGGGGUGGUGGAAUUCCCGGUGUAGAGGUGAAAUUCGUAGAUAUCGGGAGGAAUACCGGUGGCGAAGGCGACCACCUGGCCAGAUACUGACGCUGAGGUGCGAAAGCGCGGGGAGCAAACAGGAUUAGAUACCCUGGUAGUC
This 465-nucleotide ribosomal RNA is filed under the name uncultured bacterium. RNAcentral describes it as "partial 16S ribosomal RNA". It matches the Rfam family "Bacterial small subunit ribosomal RNA", at positions 339 to 795 of the family's 1533-position model. The record is from RNAcentral.